RNAcentral lists this long non-coding RNA (549 nucleotides) under Phoenix dactylifera (date palm). RNAcentral's name for it is "long non-coding RNA (PDAC_LNC021978)". The record is from RNAcentral. Lineage: Eukaryota; Viridiplantae; Streptophyta; Magnoliopsida; Arecales; Arecaceae.
UUGGACUUGCAUGCCCCUUUUUUGGGCACGAAUAACUUGGGCGUCUUUAGUUGAAAUUUCCUUGUAUUUCUUUAGACGAAUUGAUCAAUCACCUCAUACAUGGGACAUCAAUCUACGUGGAAUGAUUCAGGCCUAUAAAUAUCAUAAGCUUCUAUUCAGUCACAUGCCCAUACAUAUCAUAAGCUAUGUUGAAUAAUUAACUGAACGUUUAGCGCACAAUGAUUCAAAAGUUACGAAAGAGCAGCACCAAGUGUACUUGGUAGUGGCUCAGGAACGACGGCAGGCAAAGCUGGGCAUAACUAGAAGGUACCAUGCAGAGUUUCAUCCCUUGAAUGGCUUAUCAUACCGUCGCAACUGGCCCUGAAAGCCGCACUAACAUACCAUCACACCAGAGACAAACAGCAAAUUCAAUAUAAAAAACAAGCAUGCCCAACAAAAGUCAUCCCAAAUAACUGAUGAUCCACAAGUUUAAGAAAGACGAUUAAUAAGAGUAUUUGCUCUCAACAUCACACCCAAAAUACAAUGAGAGCGAACAAAACAUAUAGAUAC